GACGAACGCUGGCGGCGUGCCUAAUACAUGCGAGUCGAGCGGACUGAUUAAGAGCUUGCUCUUAUGACGUUAGCGGCGGACGGGUGAGUAACACGUGGGCAACCUGCCCUGUAGAUCGGGAUAACACCGAGAAAUCGGUGCUAAUACCGGGUAAUAUCUGAGAUCACAUGAUCUUAGGUUAAAAGAUGGCUCCGGCUAUCACUACAGGAUGGGCCCGCGGCGCAUUAGCUAGUUGGUAAGGUAAUGGCUUACCAAGGCGACGAUGCGUAGCCGACCUGAGAGGGUGAUCGGCCACACUGGGACUGAGACACGGCCCAGACUCCUACGGGAGGCAGCAGUAGGGAAUCUUCCGCAAUGGACGAAAGUCUGACGGAGCAACGCCGCGUGAGUGAUGAAGGGGUUCGGCUCGUAAAGCGCUGUUGUUAGGGAAGAAACAGUACCGAACGAACUAGGUCGGUACCUUGACGGUACCUAACCAGAAAGCCACGGCUAACUACGUG
RNAcentral lists this ribosomal RNA (500 nucleotides) under uncultured bacterium. Its description in RNAcentral is "partial 16S ribosomal RNA". It matches the Rfam family "Bacterial small subunit ribosomal RNA", at positions 28 to 507 of the family's 1533-position model. The record is from RNAcentral.